Non-coding RNA from Sesamum indicum (sesame), 1138 nucleotides. NCBI's taxonomy places the organism in Eukaryota, Viridiplantae, Streptophyta, Magnoliopsida, Lamiales, Pedaliaceae. The record is from RefSeq and is a predicted model, not a curated record.
UUGAAAUUUAUUCAAGAAACAAGAAUAGUUUGGUCUGUGUUACAGUUCUUUUGCUGAAGAGGACGAAGGCCUCUCAUAUAUACAAGGCUAACGGAAAUAACUGCUGAAAACUAAUAAAUCGCUUUCCUACUUAAAAGACGUGAUAGCGCUUUUAUAAGUGACAGGAAAGAAUGAACAACGGCUAUGAGAAAACGUAUUCUAAUUUAAGUGACGUAAGUCGUGGUAGCGAAGCGGGAAUGCGAUAACAACUCUGCUACUGUAGUCCUUCUUCCUCCUUCCUCUGCUACUGUAGUCCUUCUUCCUCCUUCUUCAUUCUGCAGAAGCAUCAGCAACUUAAACUGAUUUAGGGCCAAGCUGCUACAGAGAUUCAGGGCCAAGCUGCUACAGGUAAUUUUACAGCCUCCCCUCAAGUUGGACUUAUCAAGACAUUGAUAAGUCCUAACUUGGAAAUAAAAGAUGCAAAGCUUGGUCCUGGGAGUGCCUUAGUGAAAAUAUCCGCAACCUGAUUCCUUGAAGCUAUAUGUUGAGGAGCUAAGAAUCCUUCUUUAUACUUGUCACGUACUAUGUGGCAAUCAAUUUCUAGAUGCUUCGUGCGUUCAUGGAACACGGGAUUCGCCGUAAUAUGAAGAGCAGACUGGUUAUCACAGAAGAAGGGGAUAGGUGUUGGCACUUUGACUUGAAACUCUCCAACUAGCCCAAUCUGCAUCACAGUAGGAAGUUAAAUCAAAGUUCUGAGCAGCUGGAAAAUGUAAUCCUCUAUGCAAAGUUCCCUUCAGAUAUUUGACUAGAUGUACAACAGCAUUCCAAUGUUGUUGACGAGGGUGUUGCAUGAAUUGGCUCAAUUGCUGUGUGGCAAAGCAUAUAUCCGGCCUGCUGAAUCCCAAGUAGAGUAAUUUCCCAAGCAAUCGUCUAUAUUUCUCUGGAUCCUCCAAUUGUUGUCCUUCAUGCUCACUCAAUUUCAAUCCACAAGACAUACCUGUCUUCGACCUUGCAAUUUCAAGCCCCAAGAAGUAUCUGGCUGUGCCCAAGUCCUUGAUGGUGAAGGUUCUAUCCAGAUAUUGCUUUAUUUCUAUGAUUUCAUCUUCUGAAGAUCCUGUUACUAAAACAUCAUCUACAUAUACGAGUAAACAAUAUAGAC